Molecule: long non-coding RNA, 691 nt
Filed under: Homo sapiens (human)
Lineage: Eukaryota; Metazoa; Chordata; Mammalia; Primates; Hominidae
Description: HSALNT0312739
Source: RNAcentral
GAAAUCUUCAAAGUCAUCUAUGUUUCCUGAUAAAGGGGACAAUUAUUUGCCAUGGCACUAAGAUGUGUCAUCUUUGUGAAUAUGAUCUAGAAGAAAAAGCACAAUUAUUUAAAUAUGGCCCAUUUUGGUUUCUGAUAGAUUUGUUUGACACCUUUUCUUAUUUUGAGGUGUAGUAUGCUUCCAUGUACCUUUCCAGUAUAAAUUCAGGUCCUACCAUCUGGAGUGACUCAAAGUAAGGUUGGACUUCUUUUGGAAGACAAAAACAAACAAACAAAAAGCAAAAACAACAACAACAAAAACAAUUAUUCAAAUAUUUGAAGAUAAAUAUUGCUGCGAAAGGCCAUCAUGGACGUGAUGUGUAUUCUUCUGUUCUGCUUAAGCAUGUUCAUCAUAUGGCAUCCCCUGCUAUGUCUCUUCCUGGUUGGGAGGAAAUGGGGUCCUUCACCUGCUGCCCAAGACGGGUGCGUGCAAGUCAUCUCCUGUGUCGACUGUGGGACGAGACCCGCUGAUCAUAAGAAACUGAACUGAUACUCACUGUUGAAACUGGGCUUUCUCUGUUUCUUCUAUAUGAUAGUAAAGCAUUGUUCCAUCCAGUACUCGUGUGAGUCUUUCUUGGAGAUCCCAACACCUGCGAACCAUGCAGUAGGUUAACAUUCCAUGACUGCUGCUCCCAGUGGUAGGCACUGUUAUC